Xenia sp. Carnegie-2017 is the source of this 851-nucleotide long non-coding RNA. RefSeq lists it as uncharacterized. The transcript has 6 exons. The record is from RefSeq and is a predicted model, not a curated record. NCBI's taxonomy places the organism in Eukaryota, Metazoa, Cnidaria, Anthozoa, Malacalcyonacea, Xeniidae.
UUCAGACAGUUGGAUUGGCUGGAUUUGAACAGGACGUUCUAUACGAGAAGGGAUUACGUUGGUUUUAUUCAGUUAUUUUGGGGAUGAUUGACGUAUUAUCAGUGUACCGUAUGUCAAGAAGCAUCCUAUGGUGAUACAGCAUUCGUUCUCCGCAAGAAUAUUUCUCUCCACAUAUCUGUUGUAAAAGAGUGAAAGACAAAUAAUAUUUUAAAGAACAUAUAAAGUUUUUUUUGAAAGCUGAAACAAGCAAUAUCGUUAAAAUGGAUAAAGUUCAAGAACUUUCUGAAGCACUGCCUUUACCAAGUCAGCCAUUCUUAAACGUCGAAGUAAAUGAAUGCAAAGAAAGUUGAGUGAGUCUGUGUUAGUGAAACCAUGCUACAGGUGAAACUAGAUUGACGUCACUGGUCAUAUGUUGUGCUUCAACAGACUCACUUCUUCAAAUACCACUGUGCUGUCAAAACGUGAACAAAACCAUUUAUUCAAUUUGAUAAUAAGCAUUAACAUCUUAAUAGUAUUUACCACUUUAUUUUAGCACUAUCCCAGAGUAUAGAAUUAUAAAGCUUGUCAAAGACUUUCUUAUCAACAUGAAAACAAUUCAUGGCGACUCAUGUUUCGUAGAAUUUGUUGAUCCUUUUUAAUGGAACAUGUCAAGAGCAUAACUAUUGUGUAUGACACAGAUAAUUUUUCAACAUAUGGCAAGAUAAUUGAUUUGAAAAAAGUUAUGCUAAAGUAUCAUGUCUAUCAACUUCAUGAUGGGGGGCAUGGAUAUGAAGAACUUGAAGAACUCCAUCUUUUUAAAAUCACUCCCAAACAAUGACAUUUUCAAAGUAUAUAUUAGUCACGUGUUUGAA